AGAAUCAACGCUGGCGGCGUGCCUAACACAUGCAAGUCGAACGAGAAAGUGGAGCAAUCCAUGAGUAAAGUGGCGCACGGGUGAGUAACACGUGACUAACCUACCCUUGAGUGGGGGAUAACCUAGGGAAACCUGGGCUAAUACCGCAUAAUACCUUCGGGUCAAAGGAGCAAUUCGCUUAAGGAGGGGGUCGCGGCCGAUUAGUUAGUUGGCGGGGUAAUGGCCCACCAAGACUGUGAUCGGUAUCCGGCCUGAGAGGGCGCACGGACACACUGGAACUGAAACACGGUCCAGACUCCUACGGGAGGCAGCAGUGGGGAAUUUUGCGCAAUGGGGGAAACCCUGACGCAGCAACGCCGCGUGGAGGAUGAAGCCCCUUGGGGCGUAAACUCCUUUCGAUCGGGACGAUAAUGACGGUACCGGAAGAAGAAGCCCCGGCUAACUCGUGCCAGCAGCCGC
Molecule: ribosomal RNA, 459 nt
Filed under: uncultured bacterium
Lineage: Bacteria
Description: SSU rRNA
Rfam family: Bacterial small subunit ribosomal RNA
Source: RNAcentral